AAGAAUAAGGGAGACAUGAAUAAAUUCUUUUGGAAACCACAAACCUCCUAAUAUGAUACAAGUCCACUGGCUACUAUGACCCACAAGCUAACAGUCAAGUGUGGGUUUCUAUGAUCGGAGAGGUUAGCUAGUUACUCUACUUCACACUUGAUUGGAUACAUGUAUAUAUACACCUCCAAAGUCAAGAUGAGUAAUCAAAAAUAAUGUGAUGUUUCACAGGAAAAAGAGAAAAGAGAGGGAUUUUGAUAUAAAAAUACUUGAUUUUUUUUUUUUGGCAUUUAAAAUAAGUGAACAAUAAAGACGGUCACAGGAUUAGAACUUGGAUUUUUGUUUUAUUUUAUUUUAUUUUAUUUUAUUGUUUCUUUAACCUUGUUCACCUCAUCAACAAUUGUCUUAGAUUUGUAUUGACAUAGUAGUAUUAGUAAGUAUUUGUAUUGUGCGUUAUUGGUUACAGAUAGCUAAUUAGCACUAGCAGGCUAACUUAGAUAUUGUUAGUUGCUAGCUAAAACCAUGAAGUUCUCACACAAGUAACAUUUGACUUGGCAUGAUUUCAUGCUCAAUGUUACACUGUUACACAUUUCUGUAGUUUGUACGGUGACUUACUGUAUAUCACCCAGUAUAAUACUGCAAACAGAAACUUUGGCGCCCAUGCACCAUUUUAUCAUUUAGACCUAAAGUUGUUUAUCUUUUUCUCAUUUUUGACAUCUGGACUGACAAGCUCUGCUUUAUGGUUUAGAUUAGGAACCAACACAGUAGCGCAACAGGUUUUGCGGGGGAGGGGGCUCUGGAGUGGCACACACAGAAAGUAACGGGAUUCAGCCAUAGAAGCAACCUGUACUGAAUACGGAUACAUCUGAUGAAACCAAACGGAGGUGUCCAUGAAGAAUUUUCUCCUUGAGAGUAAAAGAAAGACCAGCAAGCAAGCAAGGUAAGUGCAACAAAGCCAUCCAUCAAGACAGACAUAACCCUGCCAGCCACGUUGAUGCUUGGGAACACAUUUCUCUCUGCAACAGAGUGGAUGAAUACCAGGAGCCUGCCUGUGCAACACUGGAACUCAUACAACAAUUCUUCGUGAGGAUAAAUCCAGAGGAUGGAACCAAAUGCGCCACAAAAACCGAAGUGAGUUAUAAGACAGGAGAAAUGGUGAAGAGGAAGGCAGUCAUCAACAACAGUGUCAUCCUUGCUUUGCUCGAGUGGAAGAACUUGGAUUAGGGGAGCAUUCCACCAGUGAACAAGCUGAGACCACAGACUUUUUGCCAACAAAGGAGCAGAUUGCAGGUUGGUUUAGAUAACCAAAUGUGUAGUGGUGAAUGUAUGUGGUUGGUAUUGAGUUACAAGAUCAGUACAGCCCAGAGACUUUUUCUGUGUGUGUACCUUGAGUCAUUGGCAUUUAACGUUGAUAUUUCAGUCAUUUAUGAAAGUCCAGACAAUAUUGAGUAUGUUAUACCAAAAAACGUACAGUAUUUUUUGAAGUUAUUGUGUUAUUUCUAAAUGUUAAAGUGUUUAAUGAUUCAUUUCCUAUACAUUCAAUACUGUAUGUUAAACAGUGAACAUGGAUGUAAAUGCACUCUAAUUAAAUUUAAGUCAGUCAUUGUUUCAUUUUAAAUCCAGUGCAGUGGAAUGUAGACAAAAGACAAAGAAAAUGUUGCACUGUCCCAGCAUUUGCAGACUGUGUAUUCUUAAGUGUUUGUUUUUCCACCAUAAGGAUUCCACUCUGUAAAAGUUUGAGUCUUUCCUUAUUGGAAAAUAUACAGAUCUAUAUACUGUCCAGAUACUUUGUUCUACACAUUAUUUUCUACAACAUGUUUUUAAUAUACAACCGUGACACUGAAUGCACUUAUAACUGAUAUUAGUUUUAUACAUAUAAGUUCAUGUGCUUUGUGUUAUUUUAAUGUAAUUCUGAAAAUAACAUGAUUGGAAAUGAGAAUGUUUUAAAUGAAAUGUUUUCAC
Molecule: long non-coding RNA, 1950 nt
Organism: Thunnus maccoyii (southern bluefin tuna)
Lineage: Eukaryota; Metazoa; Chordata; Actinopteri; Scombriformes; Scombridae
Exons: 6
Source: RefSeq, a predicted model, not a curated record